CAGUAGCCGCGGGAAUACGUAGGUGGCAAGCGUUGUCCGGAAUUAUUGGGCGUAAAGGGCUCGCAGGCGGUUUCUUAAGUCUGAUGUGAAAGCCCCCGGCUCAACCGGGGAGGGUCAUUGGAAACUGGGAAACUUGAGUGCAGAAGAGGAGAGCGGAAUUCCACGUGUAGCGGUGAAAUGCGUAGAGAUGUGGAGGAACACCAGUGGCGAAGGCGACUCUCUGGUCUGUAACUGACGCUGAGGAGCGAAAGCGUGGGGAGCGAACAGGAUUAGAUACCCGUGUAGUCCCUGUCUCUUAUAC
RNAcentral lists this ribosomal RNA (301 nucleotides) under uncultured bacterium. RNAcentral's name for it is "partial 16S ribosomal RNA". It matches the Rfam family "Bacterial small subunit ribosomal RNA", at positions 509 to 807 of the family's 1533-position model. The record is from RNAcentral.